RNAcentral lists this ribosomal RNA (404 nucleotides) under uncultured organism. RNAcentral describes it as "bacterial SSU rRNA". It matches the Rfam family "Bacterial small subunit ribosomal RNA", at positions 45 to 433 of the family's 1533-position model. The record is from RNAcentral.
UGCCUAACACAUGCAAGUCGAACGAGAAAGGGACUUCGGUCCUGAGUAAAGUGGCGCACGGGUGAGUAACACGUAGGUAACCUGCCUCUAAGAUUGGGAUAACCUGUCGAAAGACGAGCUAAUACCGAAUAAGACCACGAUUCCCUCGGAAAUUGGGGUCAAAGGUAGCCUCUACAUGUAAGCUAUCACUUAGAGAUGGGCCUGCGUACCAUUAGCUAGUUGGUGGGGUAACGGCCUACCAAGGCAAAGAUGGUUAGCUGGUCUGAGAGGAUGAUCAGCCACACUGGAACUGAGACACGGUCCAGACUCCUACGGGAGGCAGCAGUGGGGAAUAUUGCGCAAUGGGCGAAAGCCUGACGCAGCAACGCCGCGUGAGUGAUGAAGGCCUUCGGGUCGUAAAGCUC